This 77-nucleotide transfer RNA is filed under the name Candidatus Omnitrophota bacterium. Its description in RNAcentral is "tRNA-Met". It matches the Rfam family "tRNA". From Rfam's summary of the family: Transfer RNA (tRNA) molecules are approximately 80 nucleotides in length. Their secondary structure includes four short double-helical elements and three loops (D, anti-codon, and T loops). The record is from RNAcentral. Lineage: Bacteria; Pseudomonadati; Candidatus Omnitrophota.
GACGGCGUAGCUCAGUCUGGUAGAGCAAGCGGCUCAUACCCGCUCGGCCAGUGGUUCAAAUCCACUCGCCGUCACCA